ACUAUCAUUAACUGAAUCCAUAGGUUAAUGAGGCGAACCGGGGGAACUGAAACAUCUAAGUACCCCGAGGAAAAGAAAUCAACCGAGAUUCCCCCAGUAGCGGCGAGCGAACGGGGAGGAGCCCAGAGCCUGAAUCAGCAUGUGUGUUAGUGGAAGCGUCUGGAAAGGCGCGCGAUACAGGGUGACAGCCCCGUACACAAAAGCGCAUGUGCUGUGAGCUCGAUGAGUAGGGCGGGACACGUGGUAUCCUGUCUGAAUAUGGGGGGACCAUCCUCCAAGGCUAAAUACUCCUGACUGACCGAUAGUGAACCAGUACCGUGAGGGAAAGGCGAAAAGAACCCCGGCGAGGGGAGUGAAAAAGAACCUGAAACCGUGUACGUACAAGCAGUGGGAGCACAGGUUUACCUGUGUGACUGCGUACCUUUUGUAUAAUGGGUCAGCGACUUAUAUUCUGUAGCAAGGUUAACCGAAUAGGGGAGCCGGAGGGAAACCGAGUCUUAAUUGGGCGUUAAGUUGCAGGGUAUAGACCCGAAACCCGGUGAUCUAGCCAUGGGCAGGUUGAAGGUUGGGUAACACUAACUGGAGGACCGAACCGACUAAUGUUGAAAAAUUAGCGGAUGACCUGUGGCUGGGGGUGAAAGGCCAAUCAAACCGGGAGAUAGCUGGUUCUCCCCGAAAGCUAUUUAGGUAGCGCCUCGUGAAUUCAUCUCCGGGGGUAGAGCACUGUUUCGGCUAGGGGGCCAUCCCGGCUUACCAACCCGAUGCAAACUGCGAAUACCGGAGAAUGUUAUCACGGGAGACACACGGCGGGUGCUAACGUCCGUCGUGAAGAGGGAAACAACCCAGACCGCCAGCUAAGGUCCCAAAGUCAUGGUUAAGUGGGAAACGAUGUGGGAAGGCCCAGACAGCCAGGAUGUUGGCUUAGAAGCAGCCAUCAUUUAAAGAAAGCGUAAUAGCUCACUGGUCGAGUCGGCCUGCGCGGAAGAUGUAACGGGGCUAAACCAUGCACCGAAGCUGCGGCAGCGACACUGUGUGUUGUUGGGUAGGGGAGCGUUCUGUAAGCCUGUGAAGGUGUGUCGUGAGGCAUGCUGGAGGUAUCAGAAGUGCGAAUGCUGACAUAAGUAACGAUAAAGCGGGUGAAAAGCCCGCUCGCCGGAAGACCAAGGGUUCCUGUCCAACGUUAAUCGGGGCAGGGUGAGUCGACCCCUAAGGCGAGGCCGAAAGGCGUAGUCGAUGGGAAACGGGUUAAUAUUCCCGUACUUGGUGUUACUGCGAAGGGGGGACGGAGAAGGCUAUGUUGGCCGGGCGACGGUUGUCCCGGUUUAAGCGUGUAGGUGUGUGUUCCAGGUAAAUCCGGUUCACUUUAACACUGAGGCGUGACGACGAGGCACUACGGUGCUGAAGCAACAAAUGCCCUGCUUCCAGGAAAAGCCUCUAAGCAUCAGGUAACAUCAAAUCGUACCCCAAACCGACACAGGUGGUCAGGUAGAGAAUACCAAGGCGCUUGAGAGAACUCGGGUGAAGGAACUAGGCAAAAUGGUGCCGUAACUUCGGGAGAAGGCACGCUGACACGUAGGUGAAGUGAUUUACUCAUGGAGCUGAAGUCAGUCGAAGAUACCAGCUGGCUGCAACUGUUUAUUAAAAACACAGCACUGUGCAAACACGAAAGUGGACGUAUACGGUGUGACGCCUGCCCGGUGCCGGAAGGUUAAUUGAUGGGGUCAGCGCAAGCGAAGCUCCUGAUCGAAGCCCCGGUAAACGGCGGCCGUAACUAUAACGGUCCUAAGGUAGCGAAAUUCCUUGUCGGGUAAGUUCCGACCUGCACGAAUGGCGUAAUGAUGGCCAGGCUGUCUCCACCCGAGACUCAGUGAAAUUGAACUCGCUGUGAAGAUGCAGUGUACCCGCGGCAAGACGGAAAGACCCCGUGAACCUUUACUAUAGCUUGACACUGAACAUUGAGCCUUGAUGUGUAGGAUAGGUGGGAGGCUUUGAAGUGUGGACGCCAGUCUGCAUGGAGCCGACCUUGAAAUACCACCCUUUAAUGUUUGAUGUUCUAACGUGGACCCGUUACCCGGGUUGCGGACAGUGUCUGGUGGGUAGUUUGACUGGGGCGGUCUCCUCCUAAAGAGUAACGGAGGAGCACGAAGGUUGGCUAAUCCUGGUCGGACAUCAGGAGGUUAGUGCAAUGGCAUAAGCCAGCUUGACUGCGAGCGUGACGGCGCGAGCAGGUGCGAAAGCAGGUCAUAGUGAUCCGGUGGUUCUGAAUGGAAGGGCCAUCGCUCAACGGAUAAAAGGUACUCCGGGGAUAACAGGCUGAUACCGCCCAAGAGUUCAUAUCGACGGCGGUGUUUGGCACCUCGAUGUCGGCUCAUCACAUCCUGGGGCUGAAGUAGGUCCCAAGGGUAUGGCUGUUCGCCAUUUAAAGUGGUACGCGAGCUGGGUUUAGAACGUCGUGAGACAGUUCGGUCCCUAUCUGCCGUGGGCGCUGGAGAACUGAGGGGGGCUGCUCCUAGUACGAGAGGACCGGAGUGGACGCAUCACUGGUGUUCGGGUUGUCAUGCCAAUGGCACUGCCCGGUAGCUAAAUGCGGAAGAGAUAAGUGCUGAAAGCAUCUAAGCACGAAACUUGCCCCGAG
RNAcentral lists this ribosomal RNA (2635 nucleotides) under Salmonella enterica subsp. enterica serovar Enteritidis. RNAcentral's name for it is "partial 23S ribosomal RNA". It matches the Rfam family "Bacterial large subunit ribosomal RNA". Lineage: Bacteria; Pseudomonadati; Pseudomonadota; Gammaproteobacteria; Enterobacterales; Enterobacteriaceae. The record is from RNAcentral.